CCUACGGGAGGCAGCAGGGAGGAAUAUUGGUCAAUGGCCGGGAGGCUGAACCAGCCAAGUCGCGUGAGGGAAGACGGCCCUACGGGUUGUAAACCUCGUUUGUCAGGGAGCAAGGUGCAGGGCGGGACCGGCUGUGAGAGGACCUGAAGAAAAAGCAUCGGCUAACUCCGUGCCAGCAGCCGCGGUAAUACGGAGGAUGCGAGCGUUAUCCGGAUUUAUUGGGUUGAAAGGGUGCGCAGGCGGAGGCACAAGUCAGCGGUAAAAUCGCGGGGCUCAACCCCGCUCCGCCGUUGAAACUGUGUCCCUUGCUUGCGCGACGGGUAGGCGGAAUGCGUGUUGUAGCGG
Molecule: ribosomal RNA, 345 nt
Filed under: uncultured bacterium
Lineage: Bacteria
Description: partial 16S ribosomal RNA
Rfam family: Bacterial small subunit ribosomal RNA
Source: RNAcentral